Molecule: ribosomal RNA, 396 nt
Filed under: uncultured bacterium
Lineage: Bacteria
Description: bacterial SSU rRNA
Rfam family: Bacterial small subunit ribosomal RNA
Source: RNAcentral
AUAUUGCACAAUGGGCGAAAGCCUGAUGCAGCAACGCCGCGUGAGUGAUGAAGGCCUUCGGGUUGUAAAGCUCUGUCUUCUGGGACGAUAAUGACGGUACCAGAGGAGGAAGCCACGGCUAACUACGUGCCAGCAGCCGCGGUAAUACGUAGGUGGCAAGCGUUGUACGGAUUUACUGGGCGUAAAGGAUGCGUAGGCGGAUACUUAAGUCAGGUGUGAAAAUCCCGGGCUUAACUUGGGAACUGCAUUUGAAACUGGGGAGCUAGAGUGCGGGAGAGGAAAGUGGAAUUCCUAGUGUAGCGGUGAAAUGCGUAGAGAUUAGGAAGAACACCAGUGGCGAAGGCGACUUUCUGGACCGUAACUGACGCUGAGGCAUGAAAGCGUGGGGAGCAAACA